Molecule: ribosomal RNA, 465 nt
Filed under: uncultured beta proteobacterium
Lineage: Bacteria; Pseudomonadati; Pseudomonadota; Betaproteobacteria
Description: bacterial SSU rRNA
Rfam family: Bacterial small subunit ribosomal RNA
Source: RNAcentral
CCUACGGGCGGCUGCAGUGGGGAAUUUUGGACAAUGGGCGCAAGCCUGAUCCAGCAAUGCCGCGUGAGUGAAGAAGGCCUUCGGGUUGUAAAGCUCUUUCAGUUGAGAAGAAAAGAUUGUGACUAAUAAUUGCAAUUCAUGACGGUAUCAACAGAAGAAGCACCGGCUAACUACGUGCCAGCAGCCGCGGUAAUACGUAGGGUGCGAGCGUUAAUCGGAAUUACUGGGCGUAAAGGGUGCGCAGGCGGUUCUGUAAGUCAGAUGUGAAAUCCCCGGGCUUAACCUGGGAACUGCGUUUGAAACUACAGAGCUAGAGUGUGGCAGAGGGGGGUGGAAUUCCAUGUGUAGCAGUGAAAUGCGUAGAGAUAUGGAAGAACAUCGAUGGCGAAGGCAGCCCCCUGGGUCAACACUGACGCUCAUGCACGAAAGCGUGGGGAGCAAACAGGAUUAGAUACCCCAGUAGUC